AAGCCUACGGGGCGCAGCAGUGAGGAAUAUUGGUCAAUGGUCGGGAGACUGAACCAGCCAAGCCGCGUGAGGGAGGAAGGUACAGAGUAUCGUAAACCUCUUUUGUCAGGGAACAAAGGCGGGGACGUGUCCCCGGAUGAGUGUACCUGAAGAAAAAGCAUCGGCUAACUCCGUGCCAGCAGCCGCGGUAAUACGGAAGGUCCGGGCGUUAUCCGGAUUUAUUGGGUUUAAAGGGUGCGUAGGCCGGCUUUUAAGUCAGCUGUGAAAGUUCGCGGCUCAAC
This 281-nucleotide ribosomal RNA is filed under the name uncultured bacterium. RNAcentral describes it as "partial 16S ribosomal RNA". It matches the Rfam family "Bacterial small subunit ribosomal RNA", at positions 335 to 613 of the family's 1533-position model. The record is from RNAcentral.